Molecule: long non-coding RNA, 404 nt
Filed under: Aquilegia coerulea
Lineage: Eukaryota; Viridiplantae; Streptophyta; Magnoliopsida; Ranunculales; Ranunculaceae
Description: long non-coding RNA (ACOE_LNC001358)
Source: RNAcentral
ACCAGAUUAGUGGCAUAGAGAUGACAAUGGCAUAAUCAAAAGACGACAAUUAUCUACCUCCUAUUAAAGAAGGGAUCUCAAUAAGAAUUAUAACCAUAGAUACAUCAAAUACUUGAGAUCAUUCCAAGUUUGAUAACAUAAGUUGUAUAAGAUACACAUUGUCCAGCAGAGUGUAAUACAAGUUUGAUCUUGUGACUCAAUUAUUAAACACUCAUUUCUUCCCACUUUUCUUCAGUCCUGCUCCACCGAAUGACCCCUUCUGUGAUGUUUUUACCUUCAGCUCUUUUAGUGCCUGCGCAUAACCAAAUGUCAAGUUCACAUUAUAGGAGGAAAGAUAACACUCUAGUUGUUGUAAUAAUUUAUGUAAUGAAAUCAAAGCUAACAUUUUCUUCAUCUUUCUUCUU